CCUACGGGAUGCAGCAGUGGGGAAUAUUGGGCAAUGGGCGCAAGCCUGACCCAGCAACGCCGCGUGAAGGAAGAAGGCUUUCGGGUUGUAAACUUCUUUUGUCAGGGACGAAGCAAGUGACGGUACCUGACGAAUAAGCCACGGCUAACUACGUGCCAGCAGCCGCGGUAAUACGUAGGUGGCAAGCGUUAUCCGGAUUUACUGGGUGUAAAGGGCGUGUAGGCGGGACUGCAAGUCAGAUGUGAAAACCACGGGCUCAACCUGUGGCCUGCAUUUGAAACUGUAGUUCUUGAGUACUGGAGAGGCAGACGGAAUUCCUAGUGUAGCGGUGAAAUGCGUAGAUAUUAGGAGGAACACCAGUGGCGAAGGCGGUCUGCUGGACAGCAACUGACACUGAGGCUCGAAAGUGUGGGUAUCAAACAGGAUUAGAUACCCGAGUAGUC
This 443-nucleotide ribosomal RNA is filed under the name uncultured bacterium. Its description in RNAcentral is "partial 16S ribosomal RNA". It matches the Rfam family "Bacterial small subunit ribosomal RNA", at positions 338 to 795 of the family's 1533-position model. The record is from RNAcentral.